UCCCUGGCAGUCCAGUGGCUAGGAGUCCGCGCUUUCACUGCAGGGGGCCCAGGUUCAAUUCCUGGUCAGGAAA
Molecule: transfer RNA, 73 nt
Filed under: Ovis aries (sheep)
Lineage: Eukaryota; Metazoa; Chordata; Mammalia; Artiodactyla; Bovidae
Rfam family: tRNA
About the family: Transfer RNA (tRNA) molecules are approximately 80 nucleotides in length. Their secondary structure includes four short double-helical elements and three loops (D, anti-codon, and T loops). Further hydrogen bonds mediate the characteristic L-shaped molecular structure. tRNAs have two regions of fundamental functional importance: the anti-codon, which is responsible for specific mRNA codon recognition, and the 3' end, to which the tRNAs corresponding amino acid is attached (by aminoacyl-tRNA synthetases). tRNAs cope with the degeneracy of the genetic code in two manners: having more than one tRNA (with a specific anti-codon) for a particular amino acid; and 'wobble' base-pairing, i.e. permitting non-standard base-pairing at the 3rd anti-codon position.
Source: Rfam by way of RNAcentral